Molecule: long non-coding RNA, 251 nt
Organism: Ipomoea triloba (trilobed morning glory)
Lineage: Eukaryota; Viridiplantae; Streptophyta; Magnoliopsida; Solanales; Convolvulaceae
Exons: 3
Source: RefSeq, a predicted model, not a curated record
UAAAUUUUUGCGGAAUUACUCCGUAGUUCAUUUAAGGUAACACGGAGUGAUUCUAUUUCAAGCGGAGUUGAAAUUACACACCACAGCGGCGACCCACUCCACUCAUCACCCGUCGCUCCCAACCAGUUUGACUCCAAGUAUGGAGUAAGUGAUGUUGGAGCGGAACACAACUUCAAUGCUAUUGUUAGCCACAGACAAUUGCAACUUAAGUAUGCUCCGUAGGGAAACAGAGAAUAUGAAUGCAUGCAAAA